ACGGCUCAGUAACACGUGGAUAACAUGCCCUAAGGUGGGGGAUAAUCUCGGGAAACUGAGGAUAAUACCCCAUAGAUCUAGAGUGCUGGAAUGCCUUUAGGUCGAAAACUCCGGUGCCUUAGGAUUGGUCUGCGGUCUAUCAGGCUGUAGUGGGUGUAAUGGACCCACUAGCCCGUGACGGAUAUGGGCCUUGAGAGAGGGUGCCCAGAGAUGGACUCUGAGACAUGAGUCCAGGCCCUACGGGGCGCAGCAGUCGCGAAAACUUCGCAAUGGGGGAAACCCCGACGAGGGAAUUCCAAGUGCUAGCACUUUGUGUUAGCUGUUCUUCUGUCUAAAAAACAGGAGAAGUAAGGGGCGGGUAAGACGGGUGUCAGCCGCCGCGGUAAUACCCGCGCCCCGAGUGGUGGUCGAUAUUAUUGAGCCUAAAACGUUCGUAGCCGGUCUUCUAAAUCCUUGGGUAAAUCGGGCAGCUUAACUGUCCGAAUUCCGGGGAGACUGGGAGACUUGGGACCGGGAGAGGUCAGAGGUACUUCUGGGGUAGGGGUAAAAUCCUGUAAUCCUGGAAGGACCACCGGUGGUGAAGGCGUCUGACUAGAACGGAUCCGACGGUGAGGAACGAAGCCCUGGGGCGCAAACGGGAUUAGAUACCCCGGUAGUCCAGGGUGUAAACGCUGCGGGCUUGGUGUUGGGGGUCCUUAGUGGGCGCCCAGUGCCGGAGAGAAGUUGUUAAGCCUGCUGCUUGGGGAGUAUGUCCGCAAGGAUGAAACUUAAAGGAAUUGGCGGGGGAGCAC
Molecule: ribosomal RNA, 791 nt
Filed under: uncultured Methanosarcinaceae archaeon
Lineage: Archaea; Methanobacteriati; Methanobacteriota; Methanomicrobia; Methanosarcinales; Methanosarcinaceae
Description: bacterial SSU rRNA
Rfam family: Archaeal small subunit ribosomal RNA
Source: RNAcentral